UUUAGCUCCUUUUACCUACUUCUACUUCAGCGUGUAGAAACUUUUAAACACGCGCCAUUUUAUUCGGGCAAUGUUUUCGCCAUCCUCGCGUUUAUUGAAAAUGGCAAAACUGGAUGAAUUCAAUCGUUUAGAUGGAUUCAAACUGACUGUAUUUCGUUCUGUAGUUCCUGGUGCAACUUCCGGUGAUGAUGGAGAGGAAAGCUCUGGAGCUCCAGCUCCUGAGGAAGAUUUACUGGAACACCGAAUUGUUUCCCCAAUUUUCGCAGGAGGAUCGAGGAACCGGUGGUACCAUCUGGCAGAUGAUCCGGAAGAAAAGUUCGUCGGUGAAUUUGGUUGAUUUUUUAAUUAGCUCGUGAAAAUAAGGUGCCGCAUAAAUGUUUUGGGAGCACAAAAGAACACGAAACCAUCAGAAACCAAUGCCUCUCUACAGAUCUCCAAAAAACAUCUACAGGAUUCUGAUUGAGUUGCAGACCACCGAAGUGUUCUGCAAAGGGCUUGCGGCACUAUAGCGCGGAGCAACUAAAAACGGGGGCAACAAUGGUCAAAUUACGAACCUCCAGCCUCCAGCACAAACCAUCAGAGAUACUCGAAACCGCUGUCAAUGUACACACUCAAUGGGCUGGAUUG
Molecule: long non-coding RNA, 627 nt
Organism: Uranotaenia lowii
Lineage: Eukaryota; Metazoa; Arthropoda; Insecta; Diptera; Culicidae
Exons: 3
Source: RefSeq, a predicted model, not a curated record